Molecule: ribosomal RNA, 468 nt
Filed under: uncultured bacterium
Lineage: Bacteria
Description: partial 16S ribosomal RNA
Rfam family: Bacterial small subunit ribosomal RNA
Source: RNAcentral
GACGAACGCUGGCGGCGUGCUUAACACAUGCAAGUCGAACGGAAAGGCCCUGCUUUUGUGGGGUGCUCGAGUGGCGAACGGGUGAGUAACACGUGAGUAACCUGCCCUUGACUUUGGGAUAACUUCAGGAAACUGGGGCUAAUACCGGAUAGGAGCUCCUGCUGCAUGGUGGGGGUUGGAAAGUUUCGGCGGUUGGGGUUGGACUCGCGGCUUAUCAGCUUGUUGGUGGGGUAAUGGCUUACCAAGGCUUUGACGGGUAGCCGGCCUGAGAGGGUGACCGGCCACAUUGGGACUGAGAUACGGCCCAGACUCCUACGGGAGGCAGCAGUGGGGAAUAUUGCACAAUGGGCGGAAGCCUGAUGCAGCAACGCCGCGUGCGGGAUGACGGCCUUCGGGUUGUAAACCGCUUUCGCCUGUGACGAAGCGUGAGUGACGGUAAUGGGUAAAGAAGCACCGGCUAACUACGUG